GCCGGGAUAGCUCAGUUC
This 18-nucleotide transfer RNA is filed under the name Schizaea dichotoma. RNAcentral's name for it is "partial tRNA-Phe". The record is from RNAcentral. Lineage: Eukaryota; Viridiplantae; Streptophyta; Polypodiopsida; Schizaeales; Schizaeaceae.